This 248-nucleotide long non-coding RNA is filed under the name Coturnix japonica (Japanese quail). RNAcentral describes it as "lncRNA (ENSCJPG00005002896.1)". The record is from RNAcentral. Lineage: Eukaryota; Metazoa; Chordata; Aves; Galliformes; Phasianidae.
UUGUCUCUAUGGGUCCCUUAUGGGUUUGCUAUAUGGUCUCUACACUGUGUCUCAAUGUUUCUCUGUGGGUCUCUGUGGGCUCGAUGGUGUCUCUGUUGGUUUCUGUAUUGGUUCCCUAUAGGUCUGCUAUGGUCCCUAUGUGUUCUAUGGGGUCCUAUGUGUCCCUAUGGGUCCCCAUUGGUCCCUAUGGUUCUCUAUGUGUCUCUAUGGGACCCUAUGGUUUUCUAUGUGUCUCUAUGUGUCUCUAU